Molecule: ribosomal RNA, 1485 nt
Filed under: Lacticaseibacillus casei
Lineage: Bacteria; Bacillati; Bacillota; Bacilli; Lactobacillales; Lactobacillaceae
Description: bacterial SSU rRNA
Rfam family: Bacterial small subunit ribosomal RNA
Source: RNAcentral
UGAACGCUGGCGGCGUGCCUAAUACAUGCAAGUCGAACGAGUUCUCGUUGAUGAUCGGUGCUUGCACCGAGAUUCAACAUGGAACGAGUGGCGGACGGGUGAGUAACACGUGGGUAACCUGCCCUUAAGUGGGGGAUAACAUUUGGAAACAGAUGCUAAUACCGCAUAGAUCCAAGAACCGCAUGGUUCUUGGCUGAAAGAUGGCGUAAGCUAUCGCUUUUGGAUGGACCCGCGGCGUAUUAGCUAGUUGGUGAGGUAAUGGCUCACCAAGGCGAUGAUACGUAGCCGAACUGAGAGGUUGAUCGGCCACAUUGGGACUGAGACACGGCCCAAACUCCUACGGGAGGCAGCAGUAGGGAAUCUUCCACAAUGGACGCAAGUCUGAUGGAGCAACGCCGCGUGAGUGAAGAAGGCUUUCGGGUCGUAAAACUCUGUUGUUGGAGAAGAAUGGUCGGCAGAGUAACUGUUGUCGGCGUGACGGUAUCCAACCAGAAAGCCACGGCUAACUACGUGCCAGCAGCCGCGGUAAUACGUAGGUGGCAAGCGUUAUCCGGAUUUAUUGGGCGUAAAGCGAGCGCAGGCGGUUUUUUAAGUCUGAUGUGAAAGCCCUCGGCUUAACCGAGGAAGCGCAUCGGAAACUGGGAAACUUGAGUGCAGAAGAGGACAGUGGAACUCCAUGUGUAGCGGUGAAAUGCGUAGAUAUAUGGAAGAACACCAGUGGCGAAGGCGGCUGUCUGGUCUGUAACUGACGCUGAGGCUCGAAAGCAUGGGUAGCGAACAGGAUUAGAUACCCUGGUAGUCCAUGCCGUAAACGAUGAAUGCUAGGUGUUGGAGGGUUUCCGCCCUUCAGUGCCGCAGCUAACGCAUUAAGCAUUCCGCCUGGGGAGUACGACCGCAAGGUUGAAACUCAAAGGAAUUGACGGGGGCCCGCACAAGCGGUGGAGCAUGUGGUUUAAUUCGAAGCAACGCGAAGAACCUUACCAGGUCUUGACAUCUUUUGAUCACCUGAGAGAUCAGGUUUCCCCUUCGGGGGCAAAAUGACAGGUGGUGCAUGGUUGUCGUCAGCUCGUGUCGUGAGAUGUUGGGUUAAGUCCCGCAACGAGCGCAACCCUUAUGACUAGUUGCCAGCAUUUAGUUGGGCACUCUAGUAAGACUGCCGGUGACAAACCGGAGGAAGGUGGGGAUGACGUCAAAUCAUCAUGCCCCUUAUGACCUGGGCUACACACGUGCUACAAUGGAUGGUACAACGAGUUGCGAGACCGCGAGGUCAAGCUAAUCUCUUAAAGCCAUUCUCAGUUCGGACUGUAGGCUGCAACUCGCCUACACGAAGUCGGAAUCGCUAGUAAUCGCGGAUCAGCACGCCGCGGUGAAUACGUUCCCGGGCCUUGUACACACCGCCCGUCACACCAUGAGAGUUUGUAACACCCGAAGCCGGUGGCGUAACCCUUUUAGGGAGCGAGCCGUCUAAGGUGGGACAAAUGAUUA